Molecule: ribosomal RNA, 436 nt
Filed under: uncultured bacterium
Lineage: Bacteria
Description: bacterial SSU rRNA
Rfam family: Bacterial small subunit ribosomal RNA
Source: RNAcentral
UAAGGAAUAUUGGUCAAUGGGCGGAAGCCUGAACCAGCCAUGCCGCGUGCAGGAUGACUGCCCUAUGGGUUGUAAACUGCUUUUGUCCAGGAAUAACCCCAGCAUACGAGUAUCUGGCUGAAUGUACUGGAAGAAUAAGGAUCGGCUAACUCCGUGCCAGCAGCCGCGGUAAUACGGAGGAUCCAAGCGUUAUCCGGAUUUAUUGGGUUUAAAGGGUGCGUAGGUGGCUUAAUAAGUCAGGGGUGAAAGACAUCGGCUCAACCGAUGCAGUGCCUUUGAUACUGUUGAGCUUGAAUUAUGUUGAAGAUGGCGGAAUGAGACAAGUAGCGGUGAAAUGCAUAGAUAUGUCUCAGAACACCGAUUGCGAAGGCAGCUGUCUAAGCAUUUAUUGACACUGAUGCACGAAAGCGUGGGGAUCAAACAGGAUUAGAUACCC